GAUGAACGCUGGCGGCAUGCCUAAUACAUGCAAGUCGAGCGAACACACGCGUUCCUUUCUCCUCUGACGUUGUACGCGGACGUAUUUCUUCCACGUGUAUCCCCUACCUGUAGGACUGGGAUCACUUCGUGUACCCAUACCUCAUACCGGCUAAUAUAUUGAACCGCAUGGUUCCCUACUAUAUUUCGGUUUUGCUUUUUCUUAUAGCUGGUUCCGCGCCGAAUUAGUUAGUUGGUAAGGUAACGGCUUACCAAGGCAAGGAUGCGUAGCCGACCUGAGAGGGGGAGCGGCCACACUGGAACGGAGACACGGACCAGACUCCUACGGGAGGCAGCAGUAGGGAAUAUUGCACAAUGGGCGAAAGCCUGACGGAGCAACGCCGCGUGAGAGAAGAAGGUCUUCGGAUCGUAAAACGCUUUUAUGAGGAAAGAAAAAAUGUGGAAUAAAAUAUGGAGGUGAUGACGGUACCGAAAGAAAAAGCAACGGCUAACUACGUG
RNAcentral lists this ribosomal RNA (497 nucleotides) under uncultured bacterium. Its description in RNAcentral is "partial 16S ribosomal RNA". It matches the Rfam family "Bacterial small subunit ribosomal RNA", at positions 28 to 507 of the family's 1533-position model. The record is from RNAcentral.